UUUACCCGUACCCUGGAAUAGAAAGUAUGUUUAUAAUAGAUCUUCGGCAUCCUUCUCUCCAACAACUCCCCACUAUAUUGUUUGGGUGAUUCGAACUCACAAUCUCUUUGUUAGAAGUGGGAGGUGCUUGCUAUCCUACCAACCCACCUUGUCAAAAAGCUGCAGGUGUUUGAUAAAAAUCCUCUUUCGGCUUUUAUUGUGUUUUCCUUUGUUCAAAGCUUCAUCUAUACUUAAAUUAUGUCCCAAGUGUAAGGAAAAACACCAAUUCCUCAAAGUUAAAAACUUCAUGCAACAGAACUUGUUGAAACUUUGAUACGUUAGCAUCCACUUCCAAAUAAUUCCACAUAUGUUUGCAAUAACUAAAAAACAACGAAAAAAGGAAAGAGGACAGCAUGAAUUGCCCCAAAAGCCAGCAGACCUCACCUAACAAUUCAACGAAAUUAAAGCAGUUAGCCUCUUUCAAUUCACAUCUACCACAAAGAGCAGGUUCCAUAGUUGCAUAUUAUCUGGAUUGAGGCGCAGUUAUUAUUGUUGUGUUUUAGUAUUUGGUGUUAUUCACGUCGUAUUGGCACCUAAAUGAUGAUUAAUGGUUACAGACUUGUGCACUUAUGUAGUCAUGUGAAAAGGAACCUGAAUGUAGUGUAAGAAAUUGUGAAACUUUGACCUCCAAGAUGAAAUGACCUUGUUCUUGUCCUAAUAUUCACAAUUCUCUGUGCGGAACUUAUUAGGACAUCCUAUUUAUGGUUUUACCUCAAUGUACACUGUGAUUGGUGAAU
Non-coding RNA from Nicotiana tabacum (common tobacco), 776 nucleotides. NCBI's taxonomy places the organism in Eukaryota, Viridiplantae, Streptophyta, Magnoliopsida, Solanales, Solanaceae. The record is from RefSeq and is a predicted model, not a curated record.